Long non-coding RNA from Limulus polyphemus (Atlantic horseshoe crab), 2408 nucleotides. RefSeq lists it as uncharacterized. The record is from RefSeq and is a predicted model, not a curated record. Lineage: Eukaryota; Metazoa; Arthropoda; Merostomata; Xiphosura; Limulidae. The transcript is spliced from 3 exons.
UUGUUAGGUAGCUUGUAGAUGCGAAGAAGGAAAGUAGUGUGAUAACGUUUGUCGAGAUAAAAAACAACUAGUUAUUUAAUAAUUAAGUUUCCAGUGAUGUGGAAGUAACCUGGCCCACAGCUUCCAGGAUUAGGUACCCAUUCAGAGUUGGGAAGCUAAGUAGAUAAAUCAAACAAUUUUUUAAUGUUGAUUAUGUACAUGUAAAUGAGUCUUUAAAAAAUCCUGAUAAUUUUUAACUGUAAAUUGAUAGAAAAACAUUCUGAGUAUUUAAGAUAUCUAGCUAAACACCAGUCAUUUUGUGCAAUCUGUAUUAUGUUUAAUUCAACAAAUUUGUUUAUUUAGUUUGCUGGAUGUUCUGGAAAUUGCAGUGUUCUAAAAAUAUAUUUUACAUGGUGUAAAUGGAGUUCCUCAAAUGAACUUUACCAAUUUUGUUUUAUGGCAAUGAGAAUACUCUUAAAAAAAAAAAAAAUACAGAUAUUGUGACAUGUUGGGGGUGGGGGACAAAGCAUAGUUGCUUUUGCUUCUUGUAGGUUCUGCUGUAAUGAGACCAUGGAGUUGAAGAAACCUCUGAGUGACUUAAGUUGGAAGUAUGCAUGAAGUAUCAACACUGCACAAGGUUUAGUUUAUGAUUCAGGUUCCACGUUGUGGAAGACCCCAAGUUUUUCUCGCCUCAAUACACUGAAGUUUCCUCAAACGCGUUGGAGUUUGACCUGCAGUACUUCAUACCAGUACAGAAGGUAUCUGGAAGGUCAGGCAGAGUAAUAUAUUGUUCAAUGUAAUAAGCUGAUAUAUUAACAUUUUCUAUUUAAUUUUGAAUUAAGACCAAACAGAUGGUGUUUCUUAAUUUCUGCAGUCUAAUAAACAGUUAAUUUGAAUGCUUCUUUAAUCAGAACUUUCUAUAGCAUGAUUUACAAAGGUUUAAUAUCAGUGUAAAUUGAUGAUAAAAAAAAAAGAGUCAAGAAUGAGUUCUGUAUUUGUUUGCCAACAUAUUACCUGUUAUUGGUGUUACCUAGAAUUGCCUCUUAACCAAUUAUCAGUUUACAUAUUGCUUGUUAUGAGCUAUUUACUUCUAGAGAACUAUCUGCAGUGAACAAAAAUAGAAUGGUCUGUAUCGUUGAACAAUCACCACUCAUAAUGUAAACUUCUUGUCCUGGAGAUCUGUAAGUAUACCAUUCAAAUUACCAGUGGUAUAUUCUGAAAUAUGCUUAGUAAUACUGGACUCAUGAGAAUUUGAUUAAUUUUUAAUAAAAUAUUUAGUAUGAAUUCUAAGUAUGAGUGCUAUCAUUUGCUUGAGUUGCACUUGAUGAAAAUUGGGGUAAGAUUUGUUUAUUCAUUGCAAAUUUUUAAGAUAACUCAAAACCAGCUAUAGCUCUACAUAUUUUCUAUAAUCUAAAUAUCAAAGUAAUACAGGGUUAACUUGAAAAGCAUGCCCUUGUUUCUGUUACAAGAACAAGUAAGCUUAUAAAAGUGGACAUGCUUUAUUAAUUUAUAGAAAUGGAUCUGUUAUUAUUUUGGAAGUUAAUGACCAAAUGUUUUUGCCCAUUAUUCCUAUGUGUGGAAACCAUAGUACUACAGUUAGCGUAGUAUUUACAAAAUGUAUUAUAAUCUCUGACAAGGUUAAUAGUGCUGAAUCAUUGAAUUUUGUGAUAUGGAAUUGUACAUAAUGUCAAUAUGUAUAUAUCAAUAAAUUAUUGUUCUUUUAAAUUGGGCCUGUUGAGUUUACUUUUUUUAUGCCAAGUGAUUGAUCAUGUAAGGUGAUUUUGAACCUGAUGCAAUCUGGUAGAUCUGUUGCAAUAUGGAUAUUGGUAUUAAGAGAUGAUCAUAUACAACAUUAACAGUAAUUACAUAGUUUAUAUUAUUGGUUUAUUUAUUGCAACACGAGUAAUUGACAGUCAAUUUUAAACAGAAUAUUCUUUUAAAUUAUUGAACACUAAUCAAAUCUUGAGAUAAGGGUUUGAACUUAACAUUUAAAGGAGAAUUUAUCACUGGCUUGAAUUUUGAAUUAGUUUAAUCACAGUGUUAAAACUCGCCAGAAAUACAACACAGUCAGCAGUGGGAUUCUUUUGGUAAAAAUAGAAUUGAUUAGACUUAAACUGUUAAAGAUCAUCACAAUGAUGGUAAAAGUCAAUUUUGCUUGAUGACUGCAUUAGAACUAGGUCAGGAAGAUGGUUGCAGAUAAUUGAAAAGGGAACCAAGAAGAAGUAUAUAGGUAUAUAUAUGUGUGGAAGGACAAGUUUAUGAAUUAAAAAGAAAAUCACCCCUGAGAAGUUAAAGUAAAAGGUAUACCAAUUAAAGAUACAAAAAUAAAACCAGUGACAAGGUCUAAAGUUCUUGGAGAUUGUAAUGGCAAGGUUGAAAAAUUGAAGGACUUCAGAAAGGUUAUAAUGAUAAAAUUGAAUGUGUAUGUA